Molecule: ribosomal RNA, 315 nt
Filed under: uncultured eukaryote
Lineage: Eukaryota
Description: partial 18S ribosomal RNA
Rfam family: Eukaryotic small subunit ribosomal RNA
Source: RNAcentral
CCCUUAGACGUUCUGGGCCGCACGCGCGCUACACUGACCGGUGCAACAAGCAUCCGUCCUUGGCCGACAGGCCCGGGCAAUCUUUGAACGCCGGUCGUGAUGGGGAUAGACUUUUGCAAUUUUUGGUCUUCAACGAGGAAUUCCUAGUAAACGCAAGUCAUCAACUUGCAUUGAUUACGUCCCUGCCCUUUGUACACACCGCCCGUCGCACCUACCGAUUGAAUGGUCCGGUGAAGCCUCCGGAUUGGCGCGCACCUCGGUGCCGCCGAGAAGUUGGCUAAACCUUACCAUUUAGAGGAAGGUGANGUCGUAACA